UGGAGGGCAAGUCUGGUGCCAGCAGCCGCGGUAAUUCCAGCUCCAAUAGCGUAUAUUAAAGUUGUUGCAGUUAAAAAGCUCGUAGUUGAAUUUCGGGGUCAGUAGGUUGGUCGUGCCACUGGUAUGCACUGGUCUCACUGAUUCCUCCUUCCUGAUGAACCGUAAUGCCAUUAAUUUGGUGUUGCGGGGAAUCUGGACUGUUACUUUGAAAAAAUUAGAGUGUUUAAAGCAGGCUAACGCUUGAAUACAUUAGCAUGGAAUAAUGAAAUAGGACGUUCGAUCCUAUUUUGUUGGUUUCUAGGAUUGACGUAAUGAUUAAUAGGGAUAGUUGGGGGCAUUAGUAUUCAAUUGUCAGAGGUGAAAUUCUUGGAUUUAUUGAAGACUAACUACUGCGAAAGCAUUUGCCAAGGAUGUUUUCAUUAAUCAAGAACGAAAGUUAGGGGAUCGAAGACGAUCAGAUACCGUCGUAGUCUUAACCAUAAACUAUGCCGACUAGGGAUCGGAUGAUGUUAAUUUUUUAAUGACUCAUUCGGCGCCUUACGGGAAACCAAAGUGUUUGGGUUC
This 564-nucleotide ribosomal RNA is filed under the name uncultured Glomeromycotina. RNAcentral describes it as "SSU rRNA". It matches the Rfam family "Eukaryotic small subunit ribosomal RNA", at positions 549 to 1114 of the family's 1831-position model. Lineage: Eukaryota; Fungi; Glomeromycota. The record is from RNAcentral.